Molecule: transfer RNA, 126 nt
Filed under: Ipomoea nil (Japanese morning glory)
Lineage: Eukaryota; Viridiplantae; Streptophyta; Magnoliopsida; Solanales; Convolvulaceae
Rfam family: tRNA
About the family: Transfer RNA (tRNA) molecules are approximately 80 nucleotides in length. Their secondary structure includes four short double-helical elements and three loops (D, anti-codon, and T loops).
Source: Rfam by way of RNAcentral
GUCAAUAUGUCCGAGUGUUAAGGAGAUAGACUUGAAAUUUAUUGGGCUUUGCCUGCGAGGUUCGAAGGAGAUAGACUUGAAAUUUAUUGGGCUUUGCCUGCGCAGGUUCGAAUGCUGCUGUUGACG